UACGUAGGGUGCAAGCGUUAAUCGGAAUUACUGGGCGUAAAGCGUGCGCAGGCGGUUUCUUAAGUCAGAUGUGAAAGCCCCGGGCUUAACCUGGGAACUGCGUUUGAAACUGGGAGACUUGAGUGUGGCAGAGGGGGGUGGAAUUCCACGUGUAGCAGUGAAAUGCGUAGAUAUGCGGAGGAACACCGAUGGCGAAGGCAGCCCCCUGGGCUGACACUGACGCUCAGGCACGAAAGCGUGGGGAGCAAACAGG
Molecule: ribosomal RNA, 253 nt
Filed under: uncultured bacterium
Lineage: Bacteria
Description: partial 16S ribosomal RNA
Rfam family: Bacterial small subunit ribosomal RNA
Source: RNAcentral